Molecule: long non-coding RNA, 780 nt
Organism: Pipra filicauda (Wire-tailed manakin)
Lineage: Eukaryota; Metazoa; Chordata; Aves; Passeriformes; Pipridae
Exons: 3
Source: RefSeq, a predicted model, not a curated record
AGACUGGUGCUAAAGGCCUUGUCAGCAAAGACAGAAACAGAAAACAUUGCAGGAUAGAGCAAUGGCCAUAGCAACAACAUCACAUUAAUCAGAGCCUGUAGUCUAUGCAAAGACGAACUUCCCAAACCAACAAACUGCACACCAACAAGUUCCCUUUCUGUCCAGAAACUAGAAACCCCGAGGUAUUUGCUCUUAGACCUCCCUUCUCCAGGAAGUUAAAAAUCUGAGGCUGCAGUACAGAAGACAAUACCAGGAGAGACUUCAUAUUACCGUGCUGCAGCCAGGAGGGCCUGUGAGCCUUCCUGAGCAGGUGUACAGAUGACAGAGGUCAGCACAAGACCAACACUGCACAGAAAGUCUUAGAAGGAAGGUCUCUGAAAGACACCAUCUGACUUAGACAAUCUGUGUGUUUUGCCACAACUAGUGACAGUCCUUCAGCAGAGGGAGACUCCAGGCUUUGCAUCAUGGACUGUACCCAGAGACCAAAUAGGGGUGAUGUAGCUGUGGAAGGCUGAAGGUUAGCAGGCAGCUGGGGUGUCAGUCUGAAGGCCAGCUUGCCUCUCCAGAAGUGGACUUCGGAUGUGUGCAGACAUGGACUCCACUAUGCGAGGUACUAGACUUGCAAAAGGCGAUCUCCCUGGGACUGAAGCCCACUGUUUUUAGUUUGUGGUCAUGGCACAUUUGUUUGCAAAGCACUAUUCAGUCAGCCACAAGUCACAAGGUUCAACCUGCUUGGACUGUGCUUCAGGAACCUUAAACAAACAAACAGCAAAUCAUGAG